RNAcentral lists this long non-coding RNA (1241 nucleotides) under Heterocephalus glaber (naked mole-rat). RNAcentral describes it as "lncRNA (ENSHGLG00000050702.1)". The record is from RNAcentral. Lineage: Eukaryota; Metazoa; Chordata; Mammalia; Rodentia; Bathyergidae.
CAAACCCUUUGCCAGCGUAAAGUACCCUGGUAACUGGUGUCAAAAUGUCUUUCGGAACAUAACAAAUGAAUUCUCCCCGAUACCUCCUAAGGAUGAUGACUUAGCACUCACUUUCCCUAGAAGUAAUGGCUACAGAGUUGAAGAGGGGCAGAUAAUCCAGGAUCUUCCCAGAAGAGACAUUCCCACAGCAGGCAGGCAAAAAUUUGCUUUUCUGAGUUCACAUCACAUGUGUGAGUAAAGCUAACGAAAGGGGGGUGAGGUAUGUACAGCUGCAUUGGGAACAUGGCUAAUUCAAGGCAAACUCGUUUGGCUCAGAGGGAACAACCAGUUACUUCAGGCAAGCAGCAGAAGCCCACUUGUUAAUGAGCAGCUGGUUCCUGUUGAAUGCCAUCAGGAUGAUUCAGCCACCCACCAGGAACACCAGUAACAGCAAGUGCACGCACAGAAAUCUGCAAAACUUUCUUCUUUUGAUGCCAACACUAUUACUCUGGCAAAGUCAAAACCCUUUAUGGAUUUACCAGUUCAACUAAAUGUGACCUUGUUCCCCUCACAAAUACCAGCUCACUCUCAAAUAAACACAACUUCUGGCUGAUUAAAAUGCAACGUUCUUCCACAGUUGAGUGCACCCUGCAGUGAGUCCCUCCUCUGUGCUGUGUCUACAUUCUCUCCCUUUUUCAUUUUUUCACUGUUCAAUGAAACUUCAAAGGAUGAAUGAGAUCCAUAUACACUCAGAGUCCACCUUGUAUGUUGUCCUGCUUACUGCUGACCACAUGCAUUUAAAGUUAUGCCUCAAGUUGUUUUAUUGUUUCUAUUUUUAAGAAGUUUUCCAUUUCCACAGAAUGUGGUAAUAUGCCUUGAAAAACAGAAAUGUGUAGAUAAACUGUGCUGACCACAGACUUCAUUAAUACAUGAUUUCCAUGCCAUACUCUAGCCAGUUAAAAAUUCUAUACCUUCCUCCUUCAAAUCUAGACCAGAUUACAGACUUAAAGGAAGAAAAUGCCAAAGAUGACAGCUAGCUAUCAAAAAUGUUCUAGUGCCUCAUUUUCAGGUCUCCAAAGUAAAAUCUAAGGGCAUUCGACAAAGAUUCAGGUGCUCUCAAUAGCCAUGAAAAUAUAUGGCUGAAGAGGGAAUCUGUAAAUGUAAUGAAUACACAAUUGGCUUAUAACAGAUGCAACCAAAAUUAAAUUCAAGAUCUUGACCUACUCUUCAAAGUGAAAGUUUUUAGUUCAUGCUACAGAGAG